AGUGAACGCUGGCGGUAGGCCUAACACAUGCAAGUCGAACGGCAGCACAGUAAGAGCUUGCUCUUACGGGUGGCGAGUGGCGGACGGGUGAGGAAUACAUCGGAAUCUACUUUUUCGUGGGGGCUAACGUAGGGAAACUUACGCUAAUACCGCAUACGACCUACGGGUGAAAGCAGGGGAUCUUCGGACCUUGCGCGAUUGAAUGAGCCGAUGUCGGAUUAGCUAGUUGGCGGGGUAAAGGCCCACCAAGGCGACGAUCCGUAGCUGGUCUGAGAGGAUGAUCAGCCACACUGGAACUGAGACACGGUCCAGACUCCUACGGGAGGCAGCAGUGGGGAAUAUUGGACAAUGGGCGCAAGCCUGAUCCAGCCAUACCGCGUGGGUGAAGAAGGCCUUCGGGUUGUAAAGCCCUUUUGUUGGGAAAGAAAAGCAGCAGGUUAAUACCCUGCUGUUCUGACGGUACCCAAAGAAUAAGCACCGGCUAACUUCGUG
Molecule: ribosomal RNA, 492 nt
Filed under: uncultured bacterium
Lineage: Bacteria
Description: partial 16S ribosomal RNA
Rfam family: Bacterial small subunit ribosomal RNA
Source: RNAcentral